RNAcentral lists this ribosomal RNA (467 nucleotides) under uncultured bacterium. Its description in RNAcentral is "partial 16S ribosomal RNA". It matches the Rfam family "Bacterial small subunit ribosomal RNA", at positions 29 to 507 of the family's 1533-position model. The record is from RNAcentral.
ACGAACGCUGGCGGCGUGCUUCACACAUGCCAGUCGCACGGAAAGGCCCUGCUUUUGUGGGGUGCUCGAGUGGCGAACGGGUGAGUAACACGUGAGUAACCUGCCCUUGACUUUGGGAUAACUUCAGGAAACUGGGGCUAAUACCGGAUAGGAGCUCCUGCUGCAUGGUGGGGGUUGGAAAGUUUCGGCGGUUGGGGAUGGACUCGCGGCUUAUCAGCUUGUUGGUGGGGUAGUGGCUUACCAAGGCUUUGACGGGUAGCCGGCCUGAGAGGGUGAUCGGCCACAUUGGGACUGAGAUACGGCCCAGACUCCUACGGGAGGCAGCAGUGGGGAAUAUUGCACAAUGGGCGGAAGCCUGAUGCAGCAACGCCGCGUGCGGGAUGACGGCCUUCGGGUUGUAAACCGCUUUCGCCUGUGACGAAGCGUGAGUGACGGUAAUGGGUAAAGAAGCACCGGCUAACUACGUG